RNAcentral lists this ribosomal RNA (527 nucleotides) under uncultured bacterium. RNAcentral's name for it is "bacterial SSU rRNA". It matches the Rfam family "Bacterial small subunit ribosomal RNA", at positions 355 to 896 of the family's 1533-position model. The record is from RNAcentral.
UGAGGAAUAUUGCUCAAUGGGCGAAAGCCUGAAGCAGCAACGCCGCGUGCCCGAUGAAGGCCUUCGGGUCGUAAAGCGCUUUUGAGAGGGACGAGAUAGGACGGUACCUCUCGAAUAAGUCACGGCUAACUACGUGCCAGCAGCCGCGGUAAAACGUAGGUGGCGAGCGUUAUCCGGAUUCACUGGGCGUAAAGCGCCUGCAGGCGGUCUCGUAAGUGGGAUGUGAAAUCUCCUGGCUUAACUGGGAGGGGCCAUUCCAUACCUGCGAGGCUUGAGGGCAGAAGAGGGAAGCGGAAUUCCCGGUGUAGUGGUGAAGUGCGUAGAUAUCGGGAGGAACACCAGUGGCGAAGGCGGCCCCCUGGACCAAUACUGACACUGAGGUGCGAAAGCGUGGGUAGCAAACAGGAUUAGAUACCCUGGUAGUCCACGCCGUAAACGAUGUCAACUAGCGUUGGAUCCGCUUUAAGGGUUUAGUGGCGCAGCUAACGCGAUAAGUUGACCGCCUGGGGAGUACGGCCGCAAGGUUA